This 505-nucleotide unclassified non-coding RNA is filed under the name Homo sapiens (human). RNAcentral describes it as "tweety family member 1 (ENSG00000276537.4, ENSG00000276887.4)". The record is from RNAcentral. Lineage: Eukaryota; Metazoa; Chordata; Mammalia; Primates; Hominidae.
CUGAUUUCAAUCGCGAUGCAAGCCAGCUGUCCGGAUGCCGCCGACGCCAGCAGCGCGGUACCUGCGCGGGCAGCAGCUGCCCCGCGCCGACUUCCAGCUCCGCCCGGUGCCCAGCGUUUUCGCGCCCCAAGAGCAGGAAUACCAGCAGGCCUUGUUGCUGGUGGCGGCCUUGGCGGGCCUGGGCUUGGGCCUGAGCCUCAUUUUCAUCGCUGUCUACCUCAUCCGCUUCUGCUGCUGCCGGCCCCCCGAGCCCCCCGGGUCCAAGAUCCCCUCGCCCGGGGGAGGCUGCGUCACCUGGAGCUGCAUUGUCGCCCUUCUCGCCGGCUGCACUGGCAUUGGCAUCGGUUUCUAUGGCAACAGUGAGACCAGUGAUGGGGUGUCCCAGCUCAGCUCUGCGCUGCUGCACGCCAACCACACACUCAGCACCAUUGACCACCUGGUGUUGGAGACGGUGGAGAGGCUGGGCGAGGCGGUGAGGACAGAGCUGACCACCCUGGAGGAGGUG